UACGUAGGGACCGAGCGUUGUCCGGAAUCAUUGGGCGUAAAGAGCGUGUAGGCGGCCACUUAAGUCCUGCGUGAAAUCCUGCGGCUCAACCGCAGGCGGUCGUGGGAAACUGGGUGGCUAGAGUGCGGGAGAGGAGAGUGGAAUUCCUGGUGUAGCGGUGAAAUGCGUAGAUAUCGGGAGGAACACCAGUGGCGAAGGCGACUACCUGGCCUGUUCUUGACGCUGAGGCGCGAAAGCUAGG
This 241-nucleotide ribosomal RNA is filed under the name uncultured bacterium. RNAcentral's name for it is "partial 16S ribosomal RNA". It matches the Rfam family "Bacterial small subunit ribosomal RNA", at positions 524 to 764 of the family's 1533-position model. The record is from RNAcentral.